This is a long non-coding RNA of Spea bombifrons (plains spadefoot toad), 1414 nucleotides long. RefSeq lists it as uncharacterized. Lineage: Eukaryota; Metazoa; Chordata; Amphibia; Anura; Pelobatidae. The transcript has 2 exons. The record is from RefSeq and is a predicted model, not a curated record.
UGCUAUCAUGCCAAGUCAGCCAGUACAUGCUGAAACCUGGCUGGCUGCCCCCCUUGUGUAUUGAUGCUGCCAACAGUAUGGGGUCUGCACAUCACCAGCAUGUACUGGCUGAGUGAUGGAUGCUUACACUGUUUCAGUUAAAAUGUGAGUUUCCUAGACUUUCAAAGAACACUUUAUCAAACCUGAGGAAUAUAUAGUUUUGAUUAUAUUUCAUUAAUAAUUGAUGAAAUAUAAUAAAAAAACAUAGGGCUCGACAAACUCUAGGCGCCAGGUCGCCAUGGAAACCACGGAUCUCCCUAACAGCCCAAAACUAAGGUAGCAGGUAAGUGUGCUCCCUAUGUGGCAUCGGGCAUGUUAAUUGUUACUGUCAAGAAAAAAAAAUCUUUAUGGAUUCCAUAUAUUGAACCAAAUCACUGGAAAAUGUGCUGAAAUAUAAUCAAAAACAUAGGGCUCGACAAACUUUGGGCGCCAGGUCGCCAAGGAAACCAUUCCCUGGCGCCCAGUGUUCAGCAGGGCUGACAUAUUCGGUACCCUACGCUUUCCUGCAGGGGCAUGGUAUAACGGGGCUUAUGUAACGGGGUCCCCACAGGAAAGGAGAGGAGUCCACAUUAGCGAGGUGCGUAGUUGUAUACUACGCCCUGAUUCAUUUCAUAGUUUUACAACUAAAUGAUUCAUUAGUCCUACUACUGAUAAAUGCCCAAAGAUUUUGUACUCGUCAUUUCAUUCAAUCAUAUUAAUCCUUUUUCUUAACAUGCUUUAAUUAGUUCUUCUGAAUAUCAAUUUAUUUUACUUUCAUAUACAAUUAACGCUGAAAUAGCCCCAACAUUUCUCUUCUAGUAUUCUCGUGUUCUGCGGUCUCCGUCAUAGAAGCCCUGGUAGAAAUGCUGGCAGCAGAUCCAGGUCUCUUGCAGCUCUGCUGGCAAUCUUAUAGUCAGACCUCUAUUUAACUGAACAUAUAACAACCAAACAGCUCUGUCUAUAUUAUUGCGUUAUUUUUCUUGCAGAUCUGCGGGGUAUUCUCCUCUCUGGAAGCUGGGGAAGGUCUGCGCGAUGCGCGUAAACAGCCUCAGCUGCUGCCUGCACUUUCGCCGGCGCUCGGUCAUAGAAGCCCCAGUGGAAGGGUAUUUUUCAGAGCAUUUGCUCUUAAAAAAAAACCCAAAAAAAAAAACCCUUGUCUUAUAAUCAACAAAAUAUGGUAUAUGGAAACGGGUGUUAGCUGGAUUAAUGGCUCAUCACAAAAAUUAAAGAGAUGUGGGAAAGAAUAUAGAGAAAAUACACAGCAUACAGUCUUGCUGCGAUUCCCGUGACUGUUAACUGGUAUGUCUUUGUCUUAAGUCUGUUUUUUCUUUGUUUUGUUACUUGUAUUUGUUUUGUCUAUUGAUAUUUGAAAAUGUAUUAAAGAUUAUUAAAUAAA